GGGGCAGUGACUGGGGGGUGCCUGCACAGCAGACAUGCCAUUUCCAGUCACAACACAGGGAUCACAGCAAACACAGCUGCCACAGAAGCACUAUGGCAUUACUUCUCCCAUCAGCUUAGCAGCCCCCAAGAAGACUAACUGCCUACUCACACAGAAGCUAGUUGAGACUCUGAAGCCCUUUGGGGUUUUUGAAGAGGAAGAGGAACUGCAGUGCAGGAUUUUAAUUUUGGGAAAAUUAAAUAACCUGGUAAAAGAGUGGAUACAAGAAAUUAGUGAAAGCAAGAUCUUCCACAAUCUGUAAUUGAAAAUGUUGGUGGGAAAAUAUUUACAUUUGGAUCUUAUAGAUUAGGAGUACAUACAAAAGGUGCUGAUAUUGAUGCAUUGUGUGUUGCACAAAGACAUGUUGAUCCAAGUGAUUUUUUCACCUCGUUCUAUGAUAAGUUGAAAUUACAGGAAGAAGUAAAAGAUUUAAGAGCUGUUGAAGAGGCAUUUGUACCAGUUAUCAAACUGUGUUUUGAUGGGAUAGAGACUGAUAUUUUGUUUGCAAGAUUAGCACUGCAGACUAUUCCAGAAGAUUUGGACUUAAGAGAUGACAGUCUGCUUAAAAAUUUAAAUAUAAGAUGUAUAAGAAGUCUUAACGGUUGCAGGGUAAUCGAUGAAAUUUUAUAUCUAGUACCAAACAUUGACAACUUCAGGUUAACCCUGAGAGCUAUCAAACUGUGGGCCAAACGCCACAACAUCUAUUCCAAUAUAUUAGGUUUCCUCGGUGGUGUUUCCUGGGCUAUGCUAGUAGCAAGAACUUGCCAGCUUUAUCCAAAUGCAAUAGCAUCAACUCUUGUACAUAAAUUUUUCUUGAUAUUUUCUAAAUGGGAAUGGCCAAAUCCAGUCCUAUUGAAACAGCCUGAAGAAUGCAAUCUUAAUUUGCCUAUAUGGGACCCAAGGGUUAGUGUAUUAUUUUUCCCCUACAAAUUCGCACUGUGCAGUAAUGAGUAGAAGUCAUCUGCAUAAUAAACUGAGGGAGACUUCCCAUUCUGUUACGUAUGAUUGGACAUGUUCGUGUCACACUUUCUUUUUAAUCUCAACCAGAACUGUCCUCUGGUGUGAGAAGCAUAAUUAUGUACCCUGGAACCACAUUUAAUUGUAUGUAGUUUAUAAUAUCAAGGUCACUAACAAUUUAUAUAUAGAACUGCCUUGUAAGUCAAAGUUGUGUGGGCAUUUGUGCUUAAAAAAAUAAUAAUAAAAGGAUACUAAAAAAAAAAAGUAAUGCUCUAAGAUACCAAUAUUAGCUGUUAUCACACAAUUAAGUACUAGUACAUAAAAUGAAAAAUCAUGAGUGGCCUUCCUUAAAAAAUUUCCUAGUCUAUACUGCAUAAGCAACAAACAAAAGUGUCAUUGUGACUACAGAAUAGCUUGGAAAUUUUUUAACUUGACUUCUGUUUUUCUAAAGUAUACAUAAAGAAAACUCUUCUCUGACUGGACAGAUAAUUUAUCAAAUAUCCUGUGCUGAACUAAUAACUUAGUUAAUGUUUACUAUCACAGAUAAACCUACACAAAGGGAAGCAAGCUCAUAAAAAGCUAUAGCAAUAUUUUCUAAAAAUUCUUUUUUCUCCUACAACUCUAAUGAGGAAUGUCAUGUUCUUAAUUUUAAAUAAGGAACACUUUCAUUAAUAAUAAAACUGUGAUUUGAAAACAAACAGCAAUAACAUGAAAUUUUUAUUACAUUGUACAACAGUGUGUGAUUCUCUGAAACACUACCUUAAAAAUUCAUUUGAAUUACCACAAAAGGCAAGGCAAUUGUAAUCACUAAUUAUUAAUACUUUCAUUCAACUCUAAAGUCCAUGGCCACAGGAUAUGCACACGGAGCUUCUUGAGUCUAGGAGAGGAAAGAAAAAACUCCCUAGAGUCUAAAAAUUACAAAUAUUUUUUGGCUAAAACGAAAAGUCAGAGCAACCUUGCCAAGGAAGCAUAGUCGCUAUAUCAAGAAAUGUUCUUUAUUUCAGACAGCCAAAUUCUGCUUUUUAUCCUUUGAGUACUUCAAAGAACCUAAGCAGGAGCAAGGACUUACUAAUUAAACUCUGGAUACUUUCAAUAUGUCCUUUCCAGUAAACUGACUAAUGUGCUAGAUCUUUUAGACUUCUCAGAUUCUUUUCAAAUCUCCCAGUCAUGUCAGUCUGUCACUAAAUGAAUGAAGACAGUGCCCUGAAAUUCAUUCAGUAAAAGGAAUUAAUGAGACACUGUUGAUAAAGGGAUUGGCAACCUUAUAGUAUAAAAGGUACUAUUCAAAGUAUUAUCUUUUCUUCUGAUAGUCAUCUGGCAAAGAUACUUUUAAUUCUGAUAGUUUUAAAUGUCCUAAGACUAAGACCUCAUUAUAAUACAUUUUUUUCUUAGAAGGAAAAUGGUUAAGGCAAUUCAUAUGCUCUGAGCUUAAAAAUCUAAAUUGAUCAUAUCCUUCCUACUUGUUUAUGUAGUUCAAUAGAGACUGAUUACUUACUUAAAGACCACAAAAUUUCUCAGAGAAAGAAAUCACCAUCUUUUUAGCACAGAGAAAUGGAACUAAAACUCAUUUUCUCUUUUGUACAGCCAGCAUUUUUAAACGGAAAAGAGCCUCAAAGAAAUUUUCAACCUUUAGCUGAAGGCUUUCAAAAUGUGGCAUAUUCAGAAGUGAAGGUUCAUGCCUUUAAGCAUUUUAAGACUGUUAGUUAAGUCAGAAGCCAUGAAUUCAAUAGUUUGAGAUCUCUGAAUAAAAUAUAACUACCAAAGUUUCUAUUUUUUUCUAAGUAUUUCACACUAUUUAUUGCUGUCUCUGGAAAAGUAAUCUUUAAGCAAGAUUGUUUUUAAAGACAGCUUCUUUAGUAAGCUAAGUUUAAGGUUUAAUCAUUAAUAAAAUGUUAAUUUGAACACAGUGACACACUCACAUAAUGAAUCAAGUUAUAUCCUCUGUAUUUUGGGGUUUUUCAAUGAAGUAAAUUAUUUUAAUUUUGGAAAUCCAACUGCCUCCUUCAAGAGGGAAGUUUCACUUCCUAGAUUGUGAAUGAUCCACUAUACAAGACCAAUCAUUUAAAAUGAGGCGAAAAGAGAUCAUCUAGAAAUAACAGUAAUCCAUUUUUUAAUUCCCUAAUGAUUUAUAUUAUCAUGAAAUAUUCUAAAAAGAUGGUCUAAAUAGUCUAAAUCCAGAAACAUACAUAAAAAUUACCCAUUAACUAGGAAGGAAAUGAUAUGCUGGAAAAUUUAACAAAAACUCUGGAUUAAAAUAUUUACUAUGAAAUAAGCUACUAUGUUUUUAAAGAUUCUUUAGAAAUCAUAAAUUCCACCUUCCAGAACAUAAUUAAGGACAGAAUUGUCUUUGUUUUUAACAGACAAAAUAAAAGUUUCAUUUUUCAGUCACGUAUGUAGUUAAUAUCUACUCUUUGAAAAACAUACAUUAGAGAUUUAAACCUCUUGGUAAAGAAAGAUGUGAAUGUUUUGUAGAAAGAUGGAGGAAAAGAUUCUUUACAAGGGAGUUCAGAGACAUCUAGUGGUCGUUAACAAUACACUUGGUUUUUUCCUGGAAAAUGAAAUAAGGUUACAUAGUUCUACAGUCAUGUUCAUAUUACAAAUAAUAUAAGAUUUUCCCUGCACUUCUGAAUCUGUUUCACCCUACUGCUUUAGCUUAAUGUUUCCAGAAACUGAAAACAGCAUUAAACUCAACCUUUAAAAAGUAGUAAAAUAUCACUGAAAUAAUACACAAAACUCUGCAAAUGUUCCAUCAUAUAAAAGGGCAUGUAUGAUCUAAAACAUAAUUCAACAAAUGCAGGUGGGCAUUUGUUUUUUACAAGCUGUUAAUGCUGCUGUAAAUUAGAUCACCAUAUGCAUAAAACCCCAAAUGGCUAAAAAUUUUUAAUGCCUGGCUUCUGAAAGGAGUUCUCUGCUAAACAUGGUCAUAGAUCCACCAAGCUAGAAGGCACCUUAAAAGGCCAACAAGCUUACUGCCAAAGUCUUCAGACUGUCAAAAUAGAAUUUAAUUUUCAAAGCUAAUAGAAAAGCUAUUCUACACUGUUCUUCAAUAGUCUAUUUCAACAAUCCAAAGAACCUGUCAAAUAACUCUUCCCUCCAACAUCAGUCCUUCAUGCUACAGAUUAAUCCUCAUCUUUUUUAUUCUUUCCUCAGUUAUUUCUACUGUGUAUUAUUAACAUUUAUACCUCUUCCUAUUCUUUUAUACAAGUACAGCACUUUACAUUCAUCCCUAUUACUGUCAUGUAGCAAGGGAGAUUCAAUCAAUUCAUCAUUACAAUUUCUCUAGUUCCUUUUGUAUUCUGGCUUGAUCCAAAGCAUUUGCUACCUCUCUCAGUAUUAUGUAUUCCACAAACUUGAUAGACACAGUCUAAUAACAAUCCAGGAACACUCUAAAUUUGUGUUAAAGUUUUAACACAAAAUAUCUGAUUUAUAAAGCAUCCACCAAAAUUAGCCUUCAAUAGAGCAACUCAGACUUUUCUUUUCUUUUUAUUCAAUUUGAACUGAGAAUAUAAAAUGGGUCAGACAAAAUAUUAAGCAUUGCUUCACAUCUCUAUGAACUUUUGGCCAAGAAAACAUUUAUGAUAGAAACUAAAGAAAAAUGUCCAUUGUUUGGAUUGUUGGUUUCUGGCUACUUUUAAUGUUUCGUUGUUAUUGUUCAGUCACUCAGUCGUGUCCAACUCUUUUAGGCUAUAUGAAUCUAUUUUUGUCUUAAUUACCUCAACUAACAAAAGACUGACACUGCCAAGAUUAAAACAUGUUGCAUUUAUUUCCGGCUUCCCUGAUGGCUCAGGGUAAAGAAUCCACCUGCAAUGCAGG
This is a non-coding RNA of Odocoileus virginianus texanus, 4809 nucleotides long. The record is from RefSeq and is a predicted model, not a curated record. NCBI's taxonomy places the organism in Eukaryota, Metazoa, Chordata, Mammalia, Artiodactyla, Cervidae.